This 228-nucleotide long non-coding RNA is filed under the name Elaeis guineensis (African oil palm). RNAcentral describes it as "long non-coding RNA (EGUI_LNC051177)". The record is from RNAcentral. Lineage: Eukaryota; Viridiplantae; Streptophyta; Magnoliopsida; Arecales; Arecaceae.
UAUGAUGGAACUCGUUGCUCAUGGCAGCCAGCAUGAUGCAGCGCACCGUGGUCUGGUCACUGAGCCACUUCUGGUAAGUGUCUCUGACUGUUCCACAUGCAUUGACAGCUGGCUUCUCAGGUGCAGGAUCCAUUAUCACAUAUAGGAUCCAUUCAUACUCCAGGACAAUCUUCAACUUUCGGUACCAGCUACCGAAGUUGGGUCCCACCAAAAUUUUACUGUCCAACA